Molecule: long non-coding RNA, 263 nt
Filed under: Brassica napus (rape)
Lineage: Eukaryota; Viridiplantae; Streptophyta; Magnoliopsida; Brassicales; Brassicaceae
Description: long non-coding RNA (BNAP_LNC023857)
Source: RNAcentral
CGAGAGAAAGAGAGAACAAAGCUUUGUUGCUUGGUUUGGUUGUGAUAUGUGAACGAGAGAGUGAGAGAUGCUUGAAGGCUUUAUACUACUUGAAAUCUACUUUCAUACAAAGACAACAAAGACAGUCACGAGAACUACAAAGAGAGCAAAGACAAAGUACAAAAGUCCUUACAAGUCCAUGUGACAUAAGAAACAAAGACAUGUGAAACAAAGACAAUGCAGAAACAAAGACAAUGCAUAGACAUGUAAAACAAAGACAAUGC